This 79-nucleotide ribosomal RNA is filed under the name Paenibacillaceae bacterium. RNAcentral describes it as "partial 16S ribosomal RNA". It matches the Rfam family "Bacterial small subunit ribosomal RNA", at positions 1 to 77 of the family's 1533-position model. Lineage: Bacteria; Bacillati; Bacillota; Bacilli; Caryophanales; Paenibacillaceae. The record is from RNAcentral.
CAUUUAUGGAGAGUUUGAUCCUGGCUCAGGACGAACGCUGGCGGCAUGCCUAAUACAUGCAAGUCGAACGAAGUGGACU